Molecule: long non-coding RNA, 664 nt
Organism: Carya illinoinensis
Lineage: Eukaryota; Viridiplantae; Streptophyta; Magnoliopsida; Fagales; Juglandaceae
Exons: 3
Source: RefSeq, a predicted model, not a curated record
GUGAGACCGUAUAUUUAAUUAUUUAUAGAAAUUGUUCGAGUGGCUUGGAAGGGCUUGGCCUCGAAGAUUGCUCCACGCCGUGGAUGACAUCAUGAUGGAUUCCUUCCAAACUUCACGUCGUUUCAUUUUUAAUUGGGAAAAUCCUCAAAUCGGUGCCUCCUAUAACGUGAGAUUAUCGGAACCCAGUAAUAAAUUGUCACGUAAGAGAUGUAUCUUAAAGGAAGUAAGCCGCGCUGCAGGGAAUCCUUCCAUUUUGCAGACCCAUCUCUCCUUUUGUUUCACAACUCUCCCUCCCGUAUCCCAUUUUGCAGACCCAUGUAUCUUUAAGCAACUCUUCCCGCUGCAGACGAAAAUCAAAACCGAAGUUCACCCUUAACGAAGAUCAAAAUCAGACUUCACGAAAUCAUCCUUAACGAAAAAACAAAAUCUCUCCUAACCUCUCUCUCACUCCCCUUCACUGGUUAACGUCGAUUUCCACGGGUUCCAGGAUUAUUGUUCCAGAAGUGGGUUCCAGAAUAUUUGGCUUGUAUAUCGGACAGUUUCCCAACGACGAACCCACAGUGAAAAUCAUGAAGUGGGUUCCAGUUGCAGGAGAGGGAGGGAGGGGGAGACGAAGUCGGUUUCGGCUUGCAGGAGAGGGAGGUAGGGAGGGGCAGACGGCGGG